AGAGUUUGAUCAUGGCUCAGGACGAACGCUGGCGGCGUGCUUAACACAUGCAAGUCGAGCGGAAAGGCCCUUCGGGGUACUCGAGCGGCGAACGGGUGAGUAACACGUGAGCAAUCUGCCCUUGACUCUGGGAUAGCUCCGGGAAACCGGGAUUAAUACCGGAUAUGACCACUUUAGACAUCUUUUGUGGUGGAAAGAAUUUCGGUCAGGGAUGAGCUCGCGGCCUAUCAGCUUGUUGGUGGGGUAACGGCCUACCAAGGCGACGACGGGUAGCCGGCCUGAGAGGGCGACCGGCCACACUGGGACUGAGACACGGCCCAGACUCCUACGGGAGGCAGCAGUGGGGAAUAUUGCGCAAUGGGCGAAAGCCUGACGCAGCGACGCCGCGUGGGGGAUGAAGGCCUUCGGGUUGUAAACCCCUUUCAGCAGGGACGAAGCGAAAGUGACGGUACCUGCAGAAGAAGCGCCGGCUAACUACGUGCCAGCAGCCGCGGUAACACGUAGGGCGCAAGCGUUGUCCGGAAUUAUUGGGCGUAAAGAGCUCGUAGGUGGUCUGUUGCGUCCGCUGUGAAAACUCGGGGCUUAACCCCGAGCCUGCAGUGGAUACGGGCAGACUAGAGGUAGGUAGGGGAGAAUGGAAUUCCUGGUGUAGCGGUGAAAUGCGCAGAUAUCAGGAGGAACACCGGUGGCGAAGGCGGUUCUCUGGGCCUUACCUGACACUGAGGAGCGAAAGCGUGGGGAGCGAACAGGAUUAGAUACCCUAGUAGUCC
This 770-nucleotide ribosomal RNA is filed under the name uncultured bacterium. Its description in RNAcentral is "bacterial SSU rRNA". It matches the Rfam family "Bacterial small subunit ribosomal RNA", at positions 8 to 796 of the family's 1533-position model. The record is from RNAcentral.